RNAcentral lists this ribosomal RNA (439 nucleotides) under uncultured bacterium. RNAcentral's name for it is "partial 16S ribosomal RNA". It matches the Rfam family "Bacterial small subunit ribosomal RNA", at positions 339 to 795 of the family's 1533-position model. The record is from RNAcentral.
CUACGGGGCGCAGCAGUGGGGAAUAUUGCACAAUGGGCGAAAGCCUGAUGCAGCAACGCCGCGUGGAGGAUGACACAUUUCGGUGCGUAAACUCCUUUUAUAUAGGAAGAUAAUGACGGUACUAUAUGAAUAAGCGCCGGCUAACUCCGUGCCAGCAGCCGCGGUAAUACGGAGGGCGCAAGCGUUACUCGGAAUCACUGGGCGUAAAGAGCGUGUAGGCGGAUAGAUAAGUUGGGAGUGAAAUCCUAUGGCUCAACCAUAGAACUGCUUCCAAAACUGUCUAUCUAGAGUAUGGGAGAGGUAGAUGGAAUUUCUGGUGUAGGGGUAAAACCCGUAGAGAUCAGAAGGAAUACCGAUUGCGAAGGCGAUCUACUGGAACAUUACUGACGCUGAGACGCGAAAGCGUGGGGAGCAAACAGGAUUAGAUACCCUUGUAGUC